GCCACUUCAGCCGAACACUGGCUCUGAAAACAGCCUCAGUAUCUGACAAGCUCUCAUUCCUGGGCUUGUGGCGUGGCUGUCCAUUGAGAGAGCCUAAGUAUAUCUUCAUGCCGAGGGGAUGGGAGCAUUUAUAUAAAUAAAUGUUUGCACUGAUUACAGCACUGCUGCCAAAGAGCUUGAUGGGCGAUGAUGAUCCGAUUUCGCCAUGGCAGCUUAUGUUUACAGAACCCGGCUCCAUUGCAGACAGGACAUCGAAUGUGUAACGCAGUAUUUAAAUGUCCACUGACAUUUACAGCUCGUGUCAGCCCAAGAGGGAAGAGGCGUUGGUGUCCCAGUCUGCCAAGGAGGGCUCCUGCUAUGGAAUGAAUGGUGUCACCCCGAAUCUCAUGUGUGGAAACCCUAAUGCCAAAGGGGAUGGUAUUUGGAGACGGAGCCUUUGGGAGAUGAUGAUGUUUACAUCAGGUCGUGAAGGUGGGAUCCUUAUGUUGGGAUUCGUGCCCUUGUAAGAAGAGACACCAGGGCACACAUGCUCCCUCGUGCUCCACCCCCCUCUCUCUCUGCCCUGCGAGACCAUCUGUAAACCAAGAAGAGGAACCUCUCAAGUACCCAACCAUGGUGCCACCUGGAUGUAAACAUUUCUGCCUCCAGUACUAUAGAGAAAUAAAUUUCUGUUAUUUAUGCCACCCCAUCUAUGGUCCAGUUAACCCUUAAACAACACAGGUUUGAAUUGCACGGGUCCACUUCUACGGGCAUUUUCUUCUACCUCUGCCACCCCGGAGCCAGCAAGACCAAUCCCUCCUGUCCGCUCUCAUCUUAGGCUACUCAAGGUGAAGACGAUAAGGAUGAAGACCUUCAUGACGAUCCACUCCCACUUCAGAAAUACUCUCCAGCUCCAGCAGCACUGAGGCAGAUCUGAGUUUCUCGAAGCUGGGCCCAUCACCAACAAGACAGUGAUGGUGAAAGCAAUGAUAGAAGAGGUCGAAUUUAGAGUAAGGAUCAGGAUGGACAGGAGAGAGCUGAACUUCAAGGAUGCGAAUUUAUUUCCACACAGGGGAGAAACACUGAUUGGAGAAAAUUUACAGUUGCUGUUUAGACACUUGAGCCUCAGGAUCGAGAAAAGGUGCACCUCUUAGAUGGGCCUUAAAUUGGAGAUGAUGAUAUCUAACCACCUGGAGA
This is a long non-coding RNA of Homo sapiens (human), 1176 nucleotides long. RefSeq lists it as uncharacterized. The transcript has 3 exons. The record is from RefSeq and is a predicted model, not a curated record. NCBI's taxonomy places the organism in Eukaryota, Metazoa, Chordata, Mammalia, Primates, Hominidae.